This 433-nucleotide ribosomal RNA is filed under the name bacterium gwi72. RNAcentral's name for it is "bacterial SSU rRNA". It matches the Rfam family "Bacterial small subunit ribosomal RNA", at positions 20 to 499 of the family's 1533-position model. The record is from RNAcentral.
UGGCUCAGAACGAACGCUGGCGGCAGGCUUAACACAUGCAAGUCGAACGCACCUUUCGGGGUGAGUGGCAGACGGGUGAGUAACGCGUGGGAACGUGCCCUUCAGUUCGGAAUAACCCAGGGAAACUUGGGCUAAUACCGGAUACGUGCGAGAGCAGAAAGAUUUAUCGCUGAAGGAUCGGCCCGCGUCUGAUUAGCUAGUUGGUGGGGUAAUGGCCCACCAAGGCGACGAUCAGUAGCUGGUCUGAGAGGAUGAUCAGCCACAUUGGGACUGAGACACGGCCCAAACUCCUACGGGAGGCAGCAGUGGGGAAUAUUGGACAAUGGGCGCAAGCCUGAUCCAGCCAUGCCGCGUGAGUGAUGAAGGCCUUAGGGUUGUAAAGCUCUUUCGUCCGGGACGAUAAUGACGGUACCGGAAGAAGAAGCCCCGGCUA